Colossoma macropomum (tambaqui) is the source of this 440-nucleotide long non-coding RNA. RefSeq lists it as uncharacterized. The record is from RefSeq and is a predicted model, not a curated record. The transcript has 4 exons. Lineage: Eukaryota; Metazoa; Chordata; Actinopteri; Characiformes; Serrasalmidae.
GACAAGUUACAAGUGUCCAGACUCUUAUUUGCUGUGUAGGAUCAUUUAAUUAGGGAAUAUUACAUUUUUACUCCUGUUAGGCCAUUUCAGCAGAAGCGUCCCAACUUUUUUGAAAAUGGGGUUGUAGAUAUAAAGCCUUCAUCAUUACAGACAUGGCAGAGACACAAAUACAAAUGGAAGAACCAGCUGUUGAACCUUUCCCUAGAUCCAUCAUAUCCAGACUGAAAUCCUCUCACAUCUGCCGUAAUGUGAUUGGUGCUCUGGCUCUGGGCCUGGUGGCUGGAGUCUCUGCUGGAGGCUGUAUGGGAGCCAUGGCUGCAGAGAUGGCCUACCUUUUAAAAGACAUUAAAAUAAAUGAGACUGAGCUCAGGAUGAAAAUUUCAAAUUAUCCAAAUUAUCCAUUUUUAUCAACUGUACACAUCACCUAUGUGUGUCUGCAA